CGCCAUUAGUCGGGGUGCCGUUAAAGGCUGAGAUGAUACCCGUGAACCUGAUUCAGUUAAUGCUGCCGUAGGAAACUAAUGAUGCCAAGAU
Molecule: non-coding RNA, 91 nt
Filed under: Bibersteinia trehalosi
Lineage: Bacteria; Pseudomonadati; Pseudomonadota; Gammaproteobacteria; Pasteurellales; Pasteurellaceae
Description: TPP sequence
Rfam family: TPP riboswitch aptamer (THI element)
About the family: Vitamin B(1) in its active form thiamin pyrophosphate (TPP) is an essential coenzyme that is synthesised by coupling of pyrimidine and thiazole moieties in bacteria. The previously detected thiamin-regulatory element, thi box was extended, resulting in a new, highly conserved RNA secondary structure, the THI element, which is widely distributed in eubacteria and also occurs in some archaea.
Source: RNAcentral